This 74-nucleotide transfer RNA is filed under the name Candidatus Parepulonipiscium sp. PG-Nele67M_MBin02. Its description in RNAcentral is "Epulopiscium sp. Nele67-Bin002 tRNA-Met". It matches the Rfam family "tRNA". Rfam says of the family: Transfer RNA (tRNA) molecules are approximately 80 nucleotides in length. Their secondary structure includes four short double-helical elements and three loops (D, anti-codon, and T loops). Lineage: Bacteria; Bacillati; Bacillota; Clostridia; Lachnospirales; Lachnospiraceae. The record is from RNAcentral.
GGACCCUUAGCUCAGUUGGUUAGAGCGCUCGGCUCAUAACCGAGUGGCCCCGGGUUCGAGUCCCUGAGGGUCCA